UUUCGCUAUUAGAUGAGCCUGCGUGAGAUUAGCUAGUUGGUGGGGUAAAGGCUCACCAAGGCGACGAUCUCUAGCUGGUCUGAGAGGAUGAUCAGCCACACUGGGACUGAGACACGGCCCAGACUCCUACGGGAGGCAGCAGUGGGGAAUAUUGGACAAUGGGCGGAACCUGAUCCAGCCAUGCCGCGUGUGUGAAGAAGGCCUUAGGGUUGUAAAGCACUUUCAGGAGUGAGGAAGGGUGAUUGGUUAAUACCCAAUUAUUUUGACGUUAACUCCAGAAGAAGCACCGGCUAACUCUGUGCCAGCAGCCGCGGUAAUACAGAGGGUGCGAGCGUUAAUCGGAAUUACUGGGCGUAAAGCGCGCGUAGGUGGUUUGUUAAGUCGGAUGUGAAAUCCCAGGGCUCAACCUUGGAAUUGCACCCGAUACUGGCAGGCUAGAGUACGGUAGAGGGGUGUGGAAUUUCC
Molecule: ribosomal RNA, 465 nt
Filed under: Marinomonas sp. R-256
Lineage: Bacteria; Pseudomonadati; Pseudomonadota; Gammaproteobacteria; Oceanospirillales; Oceanospirillaceae
Description: bacterial SSU rRNA
Rfam family: Bacterial small subunit ribosomal RNA
Source: RNAcentral